Molecule: long non-coding RNA, 1064 nt
Filed under: Lathyrus oleraceus (garden pea)
Lineage: Eukaryota; Viridiplantae; Streptophyta; Magnoliopsida; Fabales; Fabaceae
Description: Pisum sativum (pea) long non-coding RNA (PSAT_LNC030608)
Source: RNAcentral
CAAGGUACAAAAAUGGUAAAGUAAAUAGUAAGAAGUUAUAAAAGAUUUAAAUAAAAUAGCAAGCACAAAAAUGAAAAUAUGAAGAUAUGUUAUUCCCAAGUAUGGAACUCAUCCCACUAAAGCAAGUGAAAUUGCUUCCUCUCCACUCGGCCACUUAUGUCCAUUUGUUACCUUAACAACAACUUAAAUAUAUAAAUAGGCAUAGAUAAAGAUAAAUUUAAAAUAAAAAAAAACUAGCUAAAACGAUAUGGGCCUGGGUCUGUGAAGAUUUGUCUCACCAUUAAUGGUCCAAACACAAAAAUAAGCAAAGGAGACUAACAGACCAAAACCCUAGUCGCCUGGCUGUUGGGUAUGGACUAUGAAGAUUCCCAACACUAGUAAUUGCUGUCAGUAAUUAAUAAAAGGUUAAUGCAAAAGAAAACCAACAGGUAGACUUAAAGAGGGCACAGUAAAAUAAAAGAUGACAUUAGAUGGAAUAAAGUUAUUCCCAAAACCAUUAAUCAUCACAGAGAAGUAAAGUAAACUUUUUAAACAAAAAAAAAUCAGAAGCUAUAACCAUGGACGAAAGAGGAAGCGGGAGAAACAGGGGAAUGAUCGUCCCUUUCCUUCGAUCAAAAGGUUUUUCUCUCUCAUAAACAAAACCGAUUCCCUUCUCCACUUACAGUUACAAAGAAACCUUCACAACACAAUUCAAACAUCGGCUAAGAGUAAGAUUCGAGAAUGGCACUAACCAGCUGCAACGAAGUCGGCCAACGAAUGAGCAGGUAAGAGUCUUGCUGAAUCUUCUUCACAAUGUUCCUUUCCUACGGGUUCGUCCGUUAUCAACCACCGGUCACUUUUGGUUAUUGAAAUUUUUAGGGUUUCUCCUCUCUCUUCAGUAGCCGUCAAUACUCUUCUCUAGGGUUUUUUCGUGGUCGUCCUCUGGUGGAGGAGGAGGCUCCUUUUAUACUCACCCUGUUUAGGGUUUUUGAGCUGGCUAUGGAGAUCAAAAGGGUAAUGCUUUUGGAAGUGCUUUAGGGUGCUCACAGUUUGUCUACAUUAUUCGGUGUUUGAUCUGGAACAGG